RNAcentral lists this microRNA (21 nucleotides) under Homo sapiens (human). RNAcentral describes it as "hsa-miR-4635". The record is from miRBase by way of RNAcentral. Lineage: Eukaryota; Metazoa; Chordata; Mammalia; Primates; Hominidae.
UCUUGAAGUCAGAACCCGCAA